GACGAACGCUGGCGGCGUGCUUAACACAUGCAAGUCGAACGAUGAAGCUGGAGCUUGCUCCGGUGGAUUAGUGGCGAACGGGUGAGUAACACGUGAGCAAUCUGCCCUUCACUCUGGGAUAACUGCGGGAAACUGUAGCUAAUACCGGAUACGAGACCUUGGGGCAUCCCAGGGUCUGGAAAGAAUUUCGGUGAAGGAUGAGCUCGCGGCCUAUCAGCUAGUUGGUGAGGUAAUGGCUCACCAAGGCGACGACGGGUAGCCGGCCUGAGAGGGUGACCGGCCACACUGGGACUGAGACACGGCCCAGACUCCUACGGGAGGCAGCAGUGGGGAAUAUUGCACAAUGGGCGAAAGCCUGAUGCAGCAACGCCGCGUGAGGGAUGAAGGCCUUCGGGUUGUAAACCUCUUUUAGUAGGGAAGAAGCGCAAGUGACGGUACCUACAGAAAAAGCACCGGCUAACUACGUGCCAGCCGCCGCCGUAA
Molecule: ribosomal RNA, 483 nt
Filed under: uncultured bacterium
Lineage: Bacteria
Description: partial 16S ribosomal RNA
Rfam family: Bacterial small subunit ribosomal RNA
Source: RNAcentral